CCCAGACUCCUACGGGAGGCAGCAGUGGGGGAUAUUGCACAAUGGGGGGAACCCUGAUGCAGCGACGCCGCGUGGGUGAAGGAGCGUUUCGGCGCGUAAAGCCCUAUCGGCAGGGAAGAAGGAGGACGGUACCUGACUAAGAAGCCCCGGCUAACUACGUGCCAGCAGCCGCGGUAAUACGUAGGGGGCAAGCGUUAUCCGGAUUUACGGGGUGUAAAGGGGGCGCAGACGGCAGCGCAAGCCAGGAGUGAAAGCCCGGGGCCCAACCCCGGGACGGCUCUUGGAACUGGGGGCCUUGAGUGCGGCGGAGGCAUGCGGAAUGCGCGGUGUAGCGGUGAAAUGCAUAGAUAUCGCGCAGAACCCCGAUUGCGAAGGCAGCGUGCCGUGCCGCCACUGACGCUGAGGCACGAAAGCGCGGGGAUCGAACAGGAUUAGAUACCCCAGUA
RNAcentral lists this ribosomal RNA (446 nucleotides) under uncultured bacterium. Its description in RNAcentral is "partial 16S ribosomal RNA". It matches the Rfam family "Bacterial small subunit ribosomal RNA", at positions 330 to 792 of the family's 1533-position model. The record is from RNAcentral.